Molecule: unclassified non-coding RNA, 610 nt
Filed under: Hevea brasiliensis (rubber tree)
Lineage: Eukaryota; Viridiplantae; Streptophyta; Magnoliopsida; Malpighiales; Euphorbiaceae
Source: RNAcentral
CCUUCAACGAUAUUGAUACAACUCCUACUAUAGAAGAAUAUCAGGCGCUGCUAGAAAUCCCUUAUGUGGCGCAGAAUCGGAUUUAUCUACACCUCGAGCAUGGGCAGACCUGAAAACGGUUCGCGCAUAUACUUAGAAUCUCUGCAGAGGAAGCAAAGGCAAAGGAAAUCGUCAAGGGAAGCACACAUGGGUGGUAUUGGACUUACAUCAAAAAGCAUUUGGAUCUGCAUAUUCAGGGCAAGCAAUGAGAACAGGCUUCGUUGGCACAAGCUUUGGGAAUUUACGGCCUGAUCUUGUUUCCCUGGCCUUUGGGAGUUAUAACUUACAGCGUCACGGAGUUGUUUUGGGCGGUAGAAAAGCAAAAUGUCAACCCAAUAUUGCCUACGACAGGGUAAGGGAACCAUCAAGUGUUGUUCCUAAUUGCUACAUCUUUGGAUCCUCAGUCAUAUCUGUCCUCUCGAAACUAAGGGAUUAACCUGGCAUCCCGAUCAGCCUCUCAUCGAAAAGGUGGCUAAAGAAUACCCUUCACCUCUCCAAGAUUUGUGGAUACCGGAGUCAGCUCGCCUGUCAACCCAACUUUCCACAGGUAAGCGUCUAAACUGUCAUUUUG